CCUACGGGUGGCUGCAGUGGGGAAUAUUGGACAAUGGGGGGAACCCUGAUCCAGCCAUGCCGCGUGUGUGAAGAAGGCCCUCGGGUUGUAAAGCACUUUCAGUGAGGAAGAACGCCUGGUGGUUAAUACCCAUCAGGAAAGACAUCACUCACAGAAGAAGCACCGGCUAACUCCGUGCCAGCAGCCGCGGUAAUACGGAGGGUGCGAGCGUUAAUCGGAAUUACUGGGCGUAAAGCGCGCGUAGGUGGCUUGAUAAGCCGGUUGUGAAAGCCCCGGGCUCAACCUGGGAACGGCAUCCGGACCUGUCAAGCUAGAGUGCAGGAGAGGAAGGUAGAAUUCCCGGUGUAGCGGUGAAAUGCGUAGAGAUCGGGAGGAAUACCAGUGGCGAAGGCGGCCUUCUGGACUGACACUGACACUGAGGUGCGAAAGCGUGGGUAGCAAACAGGAUUAGAUACCCUUGUAGUC
Molecule: ribosomal RNA, 465 nt
Filed under: Vreelandella stevensii
Lineage: Bacteria; Pseudomonadati; Pseudomonadota; Gammaproteobacteria; Oceanospirillales; Halomonadaceae
Description: partial 16S ribosomal RNA
Rfam family: Bacterial small subunit ribosomal RNA
Source: RNAcentral